This 434-nucleotide ribosomal RNA is filed under the name uncultured bacterium. RNAcentral's name for it is "bacterial SSU rRNA". It matches the Rfam family "Bacterial small subunit ribosomal RNA", at positions 354 to 796 of the family's 1533-position model. The record is from RNAcentral.
GUGGGGAAUCUUGCGCAAUGGGCGAAAGCCUGACGCAGCGACGCCGCGUGGAGGAUGAAGGCUUUCGGGUUGUAAACUCCUUUCAGCGGGGACGAAGCCCUUCGGGGUGACGGUACCCGCAGAAGAAGCCCCGGCUAACUACGUGCCAGCAGCCGCGGUAAUACGUAGGGGGCAAGCGUUGUCCGGAUUUAUUGGGCGUAAAGAGCACGUAGGCGGCUUGUCAAGUCGGGUGUGAAACCCCGGGGCUCAACCCCGGGCCUGCACUCGAAACUGGCAGGCUAGAGUCUGGUAGAGGGAAGUGGAAUUCCUAGUGUAGCGGUGAAAUGCGCAGAUAUUAGGAAGAACACCAGUGGCGAAGGCGGCUUCCUGGGCCACGACUGACGCUGAGGUGCGAAAGCUGGGGGAGCGAACAGGAUUAGAUACCCCGGUAGUCC